Molecule: ribosomal RNA, 253 nt
Filed under: uncultured bacterium
Lineage: Bacteria
Description: partial 16S ribosomal RNA
Rfam family: Bacterial small subunit ribosomal RNA
Source: RNAcentral
UACGAAGGGGGCGAGCGUUGUUCGGAUUUACUGGGCGUAAAGGGCGCGCAGGCGGUCUUGAAAGUCAGGCGUGAAAGCCCCGGGCUUAACCUGGGAAUUGCGCUUGAUACUCUGAGACUGGAGUACGGGAGAGGAGAGUGGAAUUCCCAGUGUAGAGGUGAAAUUCGUAGAUAUUGGGAAGAACACCGGUGGCGAAGGCGGCCAACUGGACCACAACUGACGCUGAGGCGCGAAAGCGUGGGGAGCAAACAGG